RNA transcript from Cervus elaphus (red deer), 1701 nucleotides. It is a transcript of the gene named vegetative cell wall protein gp1-like, with no coding region annotated. The record is from RefSeq and is a predicted model, not a curated record. The transcript has 2 exons. NCBI's taxonomy places the organism in Eukaryota, Metazoa, Chordata, Mammalia, Artiodactyla, Cervidae.
CUGUUUGGCUAUCUCAGAUUGCUUGUUAACAUCAGUAAAAUUGAACCCAUAAAUCUACCUGCCUACCUAGUCUGGCUCACCUGGACCUUGCAGGGGCUGUUCUAGGAUCUUGUCAGGAACAUUGUAAAUCUAAGAAAUCUCUCUCCUCCACGCCUCUUCUCAUCCCCACCCCUCCUCCCGCCAUUCCCCCCGCCAAACCCUCAAACAUCAAGACCAACAGACAUCAUACAAGAGAGCUUAAUUCUGCAAAGGAAGGCAACCGCAUCAACACUGAUCUUUCUGUCCAUCUCGAGAAUAUGAUAUCCUGAUGAAACUGAGUUUCUUAUCUCCUCUAAUUUGGCGACAAUGGGGAAGGAAAGUGGGGGGCGGGCCAGGGGAGGCUUACGGGCUGUCGUCCUCAGUUACUCAGCCAAGAGGUGCUUUUCAGGGUGCUCCAGAAGGGAAGGGGGCCCCUGCAAGUCACACCAUGUGUCACAGUGCUUCACAUUGACUCACGGCCAGAUCUUGAAAAAAAUUCACAGAAGUCAGGAAAUUCCCAGCGAAUGGUCUCAUCUCACCCUCUGCUGACCCUGCAGUGAGCGUAGGUAGGGUCAGGCUGGAGGGCGUUUUUUUUAAAAAGGGGAAAAAAAUCAAAGCACUCCUGUUGAUUCUGCAUGCCCAGGGGCAGGGCAGGGUCCUAACUGGCCUGGCUGAAGACAGAGCAUCAGCCUCCAGCCCCAGUGCCCUGGGGCAGCCGGCGCUGGUCUGUUUCUUCAUUCGCGACCUUUUAUUUUUGCAGAAGAUUCCCUUCUCUGCUCUCCUCUCCCUCCGCCCAUCCUUGGCUUUAUUUCCCCUUCGGGAACAGCAUCUUUCUUUCUGGGCAGAGCAAGAUGCCCAAGAUCCACCCUCCCCCCCAACCCCCUCCAAUGGACAGGGCCAAGUUUAGAGUUGGGGCUGCUCAUUUGAGCUUUGUGUGUAAUUGAACCUGGCACAAAGGGUUAUCAUUAGGAGGGAUGGCAUGGGAUGAAGAAAAGGGAAAACUCAGACCCAAAUUAGAAAAGCUUUCCCAAGGAGACACACAGCGGCAUGGCUUGGGGGGGGUCCAAUCUCUGAGGAGUUCUCCAAGGACUAGGUAUUAAACAUGCUGCGGGAACUCAUAUGGCCAGUUUCUUGGCAUUAUUUGGGUCUGUGUUCGAGGGGUGGGCAACAGACACCAGAGGCAUCAGAUGUUAAGACUGAGGCUCUGCUCCCAAGGCUGCUUGGAAUCCUGAGCAAAACGGGGUAAUUUGUGUAAUAGAUGUUUACCGAGCGUGUCCAGAGCUGGGCACCGCCAUUUUGGUCCAGAGGACAAUGAAGGUCCCGGAGGGUGCUGAGCCUUUUCUUCUGCUCGGCUACUGACCCAGGGAUACCCCUGUCCAGAACCUUGCUGCUUCAGGCCUGGGGAAAUGGGACCCUCCCUCCCCCACCCGCCCUGUGGGUGGGAUGCUCCACGCUUCCUCACUCCCUGUGGGUCCACAGUUUGCCGAGGGGGCAUCGUAACAAGGCAAGGAGGUUUCCUCCCUGAAGUGCUGUCUCUGCUGAGCGGAUUCAGAGCCCAGCACCUUGGAUUCCCAAUCUUCGACCACCCUGUUCCUCUCCUCCGAGGAGCCAGGCCCCUCCACUGCCGCGCUGCCGUCCCCCUCGUCGUCCUGCGAGCCCUCGGCGUUCUCCCCGGGGCCCCCG